This is a long non-coding RNA of Erpetoichthys calabaricus (reedfish), 234 nucleotides long. RefSeq lists it as uncharacterized. The record is from RefSeq and is a predicted model, not a curated record. The transcript has 2 exons. NCBI's taxonomy places the organism in Eukaryota, Metazoa, Chordata, Cladistia, Polypteriformes, Polypteridae.
ACACAGACACACAAACAUAACUCCAAAAAUGGUAUUUUCAGACUCAGGGAGGUCCAAAAUGUUGAGAUUCCUCAAAAUCUCGACAUUGAAUCUUUGGAUGAUUACAAUACUUUUCCUAUACUUCGUAAUACAAGAAAGUCAGGGAGGUCUAAAACGGCGAGAUUCCUCAAAAUCUCGACAUUGAAUCUUUGGACGAUUACAAUACUUUUCCUAUACUUCAUAAUACAAGAAAGU